GGCCUUUCAACUUGGGCAGCGACAGAGUUUUUAUCCAGAGAAAUUAAACUCUAUUUAUGGAAUCCCAGCAGGAGGCUCUGAAGGUGGAAGGAUGUUGCCUCCACUGAAAUCGCAGUGGCCUCCGUCCCCAGGCCUGGCUCUGCGAGAUGGGGCUGCUGGGAAAACUGGUUCAAAAGUCCACGGCACACAGCAACCAAAGAAAAAUACAUAAAUUGGAUUUCAUCAAAAUUAAAAAUGUUUCUGCUUCAAAAGUCGUCAUCAAGAAAAUGCAGAGUCAAUGCAGAGAAGGAGAGAAACAUUUGCACAUCAUAUAUGUGAUAAGGGGCUUGUAUCCAGACUAUAUAAAGAACUCCUACAACUCGACAACAAAAAGACAAAUGACUCAAUUAAAAGUGAGCAAAAGACUUGAAUACAGAUGUCUCCCGACAAGAUAUGCAAAUGGCCAAGAAGCACAUGACAGGGUGCCGCACACCAUCAGUCAUCAGGGAAAUGCAAAUCAAAACCCCGACGAGAGACCACCUUAUCCCCACUAGGAUGCUGUUAUCAAAAAGACAGACAAUAACAAGGGCUGGUGAGGAUGCGGAGAAAGUGGAACCCUCACACACUGCUGGUGGGAUGUUAAAAUAGUGUAGUCACUUUGGAAAAACAGUUUGGCAGUUCCUCAGAAAGGCUGCAAGCCUCAAGCAAGCUCCUGGCAUGGCCAGCAUGGACGAGGGGCAACACUUUGGCCAAACUGAUCACCCAGGGCUCCCCCUUCCUGCUUCCUUUGCUCCAGCUUCUCAGCUCUGAAGACACCCAGGUCCCUCUGUGCCCCAGCUUGCCUUAGCGUUCUCCUGCUGAGAGUGCCCUCUCCACAUAUCCCCAGGGCCAUCUCCUAUUGAUUCAACAGUUUGGCCUAAAUGCUAUCUCCUUCAGAGGGCUUCCUUAUGUUACUGUCUCCAGGUUGGGAAAGAAAAGCACUGUCUCUCUCCUUCCCUCUUCCUCCAUCUCCUCCGUCAUUCUGUCUCCCCCUACAUGCUCUUUCCUACUCUCAUAACCUUGCCGCAGGCUUGUCUUCUCUGCUGAAUUACAUUGCUUGCUCCUUUAGGGCGGGAGACACGCCACAUCCAUUUUCGUGUCUUCCCCAACCCCUCUACUGUGUCUGGGGUGAGCACAUUAACUCCGAGGCAGCCAGAGUGCCCAGCCCCUGAAAACCUGAAGGAGACUGCUUGAAGCCUUAUUUCAUCCCCUGGGAACCCACAGCCCUUUAAGAUGCAACUUCCUGCAAAUCGUCACCAUCCACUUUGGCUCCAGACUCCUGCCUCUGUGGGAGCUCAUUUUCCUUUCAGCUGCUCCCUUCUCUCUUCCCUGGACUUGACUCAAACACAGGGCCUAGGUCUUUCUCCUUGGUCGUCUACUCCAAAGUCACACAAGCAGUAGAAACCUUCCUGAAGGUUCUUGGGUCACCAGAAGGUGCCUCAUUGUCCUCCUUAUAGUGAUAACCUCAGUAAUAUUUCAUGUUAUACAUUUUACCUUAUGAAAAGUUCUGCCAGCUUCCAUGCUAACUGGCUCUUCUUCCCCCUCUCCUCUCGGGAGCUCAGCCCUCCUGCUCUGGAGCAAACAAACCAGGUUCCUCCCAGGCCAGCUCUGCAGGGCGAAGGUGAACCCAGGGGGCUGCCUGUAACAGAGCCUGGCCUCAGCAGGAGGCACUGGAGCCGGGCCUAUGUGGGACCCCAGAGCCCCCUCCACGGUCCUCGCAGGAUUCUGGGAACCCCAGUCCUGGUAGGUUUGGCCUCCCUGCCUCUCCCUGCCUGAAGGGCCUUCUCUCUCCUCACGGCAACUCCAAUGGGACCUGGCGCGGCUUCAUCCCACUGCGUGGAGUCAGAUCCCAAACAAACCGCCUUUCUUGGGAGACCAACACCCUGGAACCCACUAAUCUCCUCCAGCAGCUUCGUGUCACUCUCUGUGAUCUUAAUCUCUCCUGGCAGGACUUGAUGGAAAAAGCAUCCAGGGGAAACCAGAUCUUUCUGAGCAAAGCCAGGCUGCCUCCCCGCCUGCUCCCUUGCACCACUGGGCCUGCUCUGCCCAUGGAAAGCUCACAGCGCUCCACGCUCUCCUGCUCUCCUCUCAUUACUGCGGGCUCUGCCUGCCCCAGGAUGGGACUCUGGGCCCUGGGCCUUCAGGGCAAGGGCUCCAGCUCAGCUCCUCUGCAAGGAGGACGAUGUGUGGGGAAGAGGGAAGAGUGGGCUUUCAGAGCAGAGGACCUGGGUUUGCAUUCCUGCCUACCAGCGCUGCACAGGCAGGGAAGGUCACGGAGAAGUUGGCUGUGUGACCUCAGGUGAGUCUGCCAACCAUUCUGCGCCUCAGUGUGCUCACCUGUAACCCGGGCGUAAUGACAGUGCUGCUGCCUCACAAGUCACAGCGAGCACUAGUAAGAGGAGGUCGGGGGGUGCUCUGCGGACUUCAAUUAGCCACUCAGCUUAAUGGCCCCACUCACUGCGUGACCUCGGGAAGGUCACUCCCCUCUCUGGCCUCAGUUUCACCGUGUGUGAAGUGAAGAGGGUGGAUGAUUGAGCUCAAGCACGGUCUUUCCAGUGGACAACGUUUUGACAAGAUAUGAGUUUUGACAAACGUAUGCAUCACCAUCAAGGCUCAGUUCAGCCUCCCCAGAGCGUCCUCUCGCGCCCCUUCACAGCGAUCUGCUGUCUGUUCCUAUGGCUGGAAUGUUGUACGGUGGGAUCCUACGGAUCAGCUCCCUUGCAUCUGGCUGCCUCCACUCAGCACGGUGUCUGUGAGAUUCAUCCAUGUUGUUGGGUGGAGCAGUUGUCUGUGCCUUUGUCAUACUGAGGAGUACUCCGUCGCAUGGCUAGACCACAAUUCGUUCAUCCAUUCACCUGUGCCGGGACGUUUGGGCUCUUUUGGCUUUUUUCCAGUUUUUGGCUAUUGUGAAUAAAGUGCC
Molecule: long non-coding RNA, 2938 nt
Organism: Equus caballus (horse)
Lineage: Eukaryota; Metazoa; Chordata; Mammalia; Perissodactyla; Equidae
Source: Ensembl